RNAcentral lists this ribosomal RNA (473 nucleotides) under bacterium 2611-S4-01C-2. Its description in RNAcentral is "bacterial SSU rRNA". It matches the Rfam family "Bacterial small subunit ribosomal RNA", at positions 58 to 510 of the family's 1533-position model. The record is from RNAcentral.
CAAGUCGAGCGGCAGCGACAACAUUGAACCUUCGGGGGAUUUGUUGGGCGGCGAGCGGCGGACGGGUGAGUAAUGCCUGGGAAAUUGCCCUGAUGUGGGGGAUAACCAUUGGAAACGAUGGCUAAUACCGCAUGAUAGCUUCGGCUCAAAGAGGGGGACCUUCGGGCCUCUCGCGUCAGGAUAUGCCCAGGUGGGAUUAGCUAGUUGGUGAGGUAAGGGCUCACCAAGGCGACGAUCCCUAGCUGGUCUGAGAGGAUGAUCAGCCACACUGGAACUGAGACACGGUCCAGACUCCUACGGGAGGCAGCAGUGGGGAAUAUUGCACAAUGGGCGCAAGCCUGAUGCAGCCAUGCCGCGUGUAUGAAGAAGGCCUUCGGGUUGUAAAGUACUUUCAGCAGUGAGGAAGGAGGUAUCGUUAAUAGCGGUAUCUUUUGACGUUAGCUGCAGAAGAAGCACCGGCUAACUCCGUGCCA